Piliocolobus tephrosceles (Ugandan red Colobus) is the source of this 1440-nucleotide long non-coding RNA. RefSeq lists it as uncharacterized. Lineage: Eukaryota; Metazoa; Chordata; Mammalia; Primates; Cercopithecidae. The transcript is spliced from 5 exons. The record is from RefSeq and is a predicted model, not a curated record.
GCAAGAGGGAACUGCCAAGGGAAGUUCUGAGAGGAGGUGUUUACCCUGCAUAAACACCUCGCCGUUUAGCUUGGCCUCCCUAGAAGCAGACCCUGAGGAGAGUGGGCAAAUGGACUACUAAGGAAGUGCUCCUGAGAGAAACCUGAAAAGGGGUGUAGGGAGCAAGGGAGGAUAAGGAGAAGACUCCAGUAAGGAUGAGAUUACUCAAGUCCCGUGGAAGACAGGUUAGCCUGAUCCUGCAGGGGAGCCCUGGAGGAUCAUCCCAGGAAGGAUCACUGAAUUGGGAGCCAGUCCCCUCACUCUUGAACUUAGUGCUCAUGUGAUCCUGGGAUCCCUGGCUUAACCAGCCACAAUACGGGUCACGAGAUGCAAUACAAGACCUGUAUAACACCAAACAGAAUGUAACUUGGAUUUUCUCAUCAUCAAAGGUUUUGAUGCUGCAAGACCCGGGGAGAAAAGAAUGGUGUAUGAUUUCUUGAUGGCAGUAAUAAAAUAGCACCGCUGAAGGCUUGAGCUUUGUAUUUUGUUCCUGGUACACAACACUGACUCUUCUCAGCUUAGAAAAUGAAAAACAGAAAAGCUUCCUUCUCAGAAUAGAAGACUGUUCUUGAGAUGACUUACAGUGAUAAUCGACAGUGUUAAGGGGUUCAUCAUCUUCGGGAAAGCUGACUGCCCUCAACUGGGAAACCAUCAGCAGCAGUAUGUAGGCACAAAGCAGGAAGACCCUCAUGGUGAGCCAAGGUGAAGCCAGGGUAGCCCCUGCUCAGAAAUGCCACUGAGCUACCUGGAAAACAGAAGCAAUUUGGAAAGAUCUCUAUGCUGCAACGAAAUGGGUUUCUUGUUUGUAAUCAGCUCAGUUUUCACCAUCAGCUCCCUCCAAAUCCCCUCUCCCACCAGGAAUGCUGGCAGUGGUAGAUCAGGUAUCGCCAAAAACACAGGCAAAAGAUGGCAGCAUGCCAGUCCUGAUUAAAGCAUCUGGUUGAGCAUACUGAAGUUUUCAGCAAAUUCACAAGAAUUUUGGAGGUAAUCGUAUGUCAUCACAGCAGAGUCACCAGAACCAUGAACAGAAAUGCUAGCUGCUGACUUGGCAAGAAGAUGGGCAAAGUUGGGAUCAGAAUUUUAAUUAAAUUCCAAUCCUCUUCCCUUCCCCCAGUCCUGAAAUAUAUCUAAUACAGCUUGUCUCUGCCCCCCAUAACAUGCUCAAGCUGCCUCAAAAAUAGCCAGAGGGCUGAUGAUCCUGUCAUAAUCUCUCCUCAGCUCUUUGCUUAUGGUGUUGCCAAAUUCCCAGCAUUACCCAAGCAUUAGCCCUAAAUUCUUAAGUCGAGUAUUUCCCUAUGCUUAGCAAGACCAACGUGGAGACAAUGACAUGAAUGACCCUGAAUCAGGGUGAAAGGGAAUUAAAAGAAAUACAAUGAUUCCAUGAUAACCAAUCAAGCAAAG